GGGAAUGUGGCUUAGUGGUAGAGUGCUUGCCUAGCAUUCAAGAAACCCUGGGUUCAAUUCCUCAGUACCA
Molecule: transfer RNA, 70 nt
Filed under: Dipodomys ordii (Ord's kangaroo rat)
Lineage: Eukaryota; Metazoa; Chordata; Mammalia; Rodentia; Heteromyidae
Rfam family: tRNA
About the family: Transfer RNA (tRNA) molecules are approximately 80 nucleotides in length. Their secondary structure includes four short double-helical elements and three loops (D, anti-codon, and T loops). Further hydrogen bonds mediate the characteristic L-shaped molecular structure. tRNAs have two regions of fundamental functional importance: the anti-codon, which is responsible for specific mRNA codon recognition, and the 3' end, to which the tRNAs corresponding amino acid is attached (by aminoacyl-tRNA synthetases). tRNAs cope with the degeneracy of the genetic code in two manners: having more than one tRNA (with a specific anti-codon) for a particular amino acid; and 'wobble' base-pairing, i.e. permitting non-standard base-pairing at the 3rd anti-codon position.
Source: Rfam by way of RNAcentral